This 247-nucleotide ribosomal RNA is filed under the name Legionella pneumophila. Its description in RNAcentral is "partial 23S ribosomal RNA". It matches the Rfam family "Bacterial large subunit ribosomal RNA", at positions 1 to 242 of the family's 2925-position model. The record is from RNAcentral. Lineage: Bacteria; Pseudomonadati; Pseudomonadota; Gammaproteobacteria; Legionellales; Legionellaceae.
GUUAUAUGGUCAAGAAGAGAAGCGCAAACGGUGGAUGCCUUGGCAGUAAGAGGCGAAGAAGGACGUGGAAUCCUGCGAAAAGCUAUGGGGAGCUGGAAACGAGCGUUGAGCCAUAGAUGUCCGAAUGGGGGAACCCGGCUGCAGUAAUGCGGUCAUUUGCAUUUGAAUACAUAGGAUGCAAAGGCGAACUCGGGGAACUGAAACAUCUAAGUACCCGAAGGAAAAGAAAUCAAGAGAGAUUCUCCAA